AGCUACAGGAUGAUAUUAAUAGCGACAAUGCUGCCCUUGCCAAAUUUGAAACCAUUCGCGCCUAUGGCGCCGUGCGUAUGAGCUUGAUUUCGCAUAUUGAUGAAGCAGUUGCACGCCAACACACGCCUAAGAUCGCCUUUGUCGCUAAACCUAAAGCCUAUGUGUCAUCGAGCGGCAAAACCGUCAAUGCCGAUGAAAUCGAUCUACUGGUGCGCGCCUUGUCUAUGGGCAAACUGCACCACGCUAUGAUGGGCACGGCUGCCGUUGCUAUUGGUACGGCGGCGGCAAUUCCCGGCACUUUAGUAAACCUCGCCGCAGGCGGUGGCGAAAAGGAAGCGGUACGCUUUGGGCAUCCUUCAGGCACGCUGCGCGUGGGUGCGCAGGCCAUUCAAGAAAAUGGCGAAUGGACAGUCGUCAAAGCCAUUAUGAGCCGCAGUGCUCGGGUGCUGAUGGAAGGUUUUGUACGAGUACCCGCUACGUAGCUUUAUAUAUCCUUUAUAUCUUAAUAAAACAGUUUAACCAAAGACCUUGCUUCUCCCCCUUCCGGCAAGGUCUUUUCUUUUCCAAUAUCCCAAGUAACAGCACAGCAAUAAUUUGUUCGUCAGCUAAUAUGUUGGCAUACCGUAAACAAUGCUAAGAUUCUUGGGCUAGGUAAAAACAAUAAUGACAACUGUGAUAUAGCCCAAAAAUGAGUAGAUAACGAAGCUAAGAUCAGCACUCAUUUCAAACGGGAUGAUAAAGGUUUUUAUAGGGGUAAAUUUGCGUCCAUUCACCUACAAACUUGUUAUAUGCACUCUUUAUAUUUUGAGUUUAUUGUGGAUCCCACAAAAUGGAUGGGCACAGCCAUUAAGUGCGGCGAAUACUCAACUUAAAUUUGAACAUAUUCGCAGUGAAGAAGGGCUAAACCAAAAUACUAUCACGAGUCUAUUUAUGGACAGUGCUGGCAUGCUCUGGAUUGGUACUCAAGAUGGUUUACACAGCUACAAUGGCCAUAGUUUUAAUCUUUUUAUUCACUCACCGAAUGAUCCUACCAGCAUUUCCGAAAGUUAUGUGUCCGAUAUUAUCCAAGAUCCUGAAGGAUAUAUUUGGGUGGGCACCUUUAGCCAAGGUGUUAAUCGUCUCGACCUCAGCACAGGGAAAUUCGAGCAUUUUGGGUUAGAACAAGGACUGACAGAACCGAGAGUCACUAAGCUUAAUAUUGUUGGCAAUACCCUAUGGAUUGGCACUCAAUCAGGCUUAUUUUCCUUAUCAACAAAGACUCAACGUAUAAAUCAAGUCAACUUAGGUAACAGUGUUGAACCCUAUAUCACUAGCCUUGCCAAUGUUGACAACACCUACUUAUUAGCUGGUACACAAAAUAGCGGGACCUUUGCUGUAAGUGCCAACACCAUCACCCGUUUAAAUGUGCCGCAGAAUGUGACUGCCUAUCAAAUAAAAGCCAAUUCUAAACGCUCAAUUGAUCUCGCCCUUGGUAACCAACUUUGGCGUUAUGAUCUUAUCUCCCAGCAGGGUGAAGUUUUAUGGCAAGUCGAUCCUGAU
Molecule: ribosomal RNA, 1539 nt
Filed under: Shewanella putrefaciens
Lineage: Bacteria; Pseudomonadati; Pseudomonadota; Gammaproteobacteria; Alteromonadales; Shewanellaceae
Description: 16S ribosomal RNA
Source: RNAcentral